AGUUACAAGAAAAGUAUCAAAGCUCUCUUCCCCUUUCUGUUUAUAAUCUGCUCUUGCCUUUUGGAAGUCAGGCCUUUGUUUUCACUCUGUAAACUGAUGUUUUGUGCCUUCUCUGACACUGGCAAUGGAAUGUUGUCCCAUGCAUCAUGAAAGAUUGUUUUAGAAAUGUUGCUGAGCUCCCUAAAUCAGGAAGGUGGCUGAAGGGGUUGUUUGUAGUUCUCGUGGUGUUGAUCAUCUCCUGCUUCUCUUGCAGGACGUGGGGGCUGAGGAGAGCCCUGCUCAGUCUGCCUUGGGCUCCUGCACUGCUGGGGCUGAUGCCAGAGCUCCCCAGAGCAGGAGAAGUGCUCGCUUCAAGAAGAGGAGGAGGACAUGAGAAGGAGAUGUGGGUCAUGGAAUGAGCUCUGCCUUCCUGCAUGGCAGGAGGAGAUAAUCUUUGCACUGUUCACCUUUUCCACUUCCAGUGAUGACUGGAUGGACCUGGGGAAGAGGAAAAUGCUGGAUUGAUUUUCCCAUCCCUCAACAAAAUCUGCAUCUGUAGGCAAGGUUUAAAAAGGAUAGAUUUCCCUCCAGCCAGUUUCUUUCAGGCACAGACUCCUGCUCUUUCAAACUCCCACCUGCCAUAGAUUCUGAAGGGGAAUAUUGCAGGAAAUGUGGGGAAACAAGCAAUGGUGGUUAUUUAUUUCUUCUUGUGUUGUUUAUGUGAAUGCUUAUCCAUGUUCAGAAUAUGUUAAUUGGGUGGUUUUUAGUGCUGUGACAGUGGCUUUGCUUGGUAACUGACUGAAUACUGUGGAAUAAGCAGCAGAUUAAUUUUGUAUCAAAAUGACUCUUAAGUAUUUGUUGAAAUACAGAUGUUUUAUUUUUCGCACUUAAAAAUUACUGAUGUAUUCUGUGUCGUUUUUUUUUUCUUGGUAAAUAGUGCUUUUAAUAAUGUGUGUGUGAGAGUGAUUGCUAAUGAGAAAAUGAAGUUUUCAGGCUGCAUGAAAACCAGGGAAAAUAGGGGAGAUGAAUAUUCAUGUGCCUAAAACUGCAGGAUUGAAUUAGGAUUCUUCCUUGAUUCUUCCACAGCCUGCCCUGUACAGACAUCACAAAUCACUUUAAAAAAACUUGUUUCUUCA
This 1115-nucleotide long non-coding RNA is filed under the name Junco hyemalis (dark-eyed junco). Its description in RNAcentral is "lncRNA (ENSJHYG00000005485.1)". Lineage: Eukaryota; Metazoa; Chordata; Aves; Passeriformes; Passerellidae. The record is from RNAcentral.